UGUGGUGGCUCUCCUUUCUUUUAUCUCAACCGUGGUAUCCGCGGGGUAACGCCAUGGCGAUCGCGGCCACGAACUGUAUGUAACGCAUGCAGUCGAGUUAUAUAUAGUGGAACAGAGCCGAGAAAGCAUUGCGGGUUUGUUGCAGCAGCAUCCAUCGCGUGCGUACAUUAAUCUAAGCGAUCUUCAUCCAGCCUUCUGCUCUGCUCCCUCGAAAUGGAGGCGACGAGCAAGGCGAUGGCUUCAGGCCUCCUCGUUCUGCUGCUUCUCAUCAACACAGGCUUUGUCCUGCCCGUCCAUUCCGAGGACUGCUGGGCCGACACCCGCGUCAUCUGCACCAAGACGCACAACUGCCGGGACGACACUUGCGCGGGGCGCGGCAUGCCGGACGGCCGCUGCCACUGGGAGUUCCCCAACCUGGUGCCCUUCUGCCAGUGCCUGCGCCCCAACUGCCACUAGUCCGGGCGCCUCGGAUUGGCUCACUUCGCCGGCGAUGAUGGAUGGUGCCCAACUGCGACUGCCCAGUCUGCUCCAUUCGUUGUUGUUUAAGGCAUAAUAUAUAAACUGCCAAAUUCACAUGUAUUUUGGGAUAUUUGUUAUCAUACUAUGAAAUGACUGUGAAUCGUUGUUCUGAUUUGUCUUUCACCACAUGUUUUCCUUGCAUGAAGUAAUAUACGAUAUUUAUGUAUUUCUUGUUUUCGAGAAUAAUAGUCAAAGUAUCUUGUGAUUUGAACGGUUA
Molecule: long non-coding RNA, 736 nt
Organism: Zea mays
Lineage: Eukaryota; Viridiplantae; Streptophyta; Magnoliopsida; Poales; Poaceae
Exons: 2
Source: RefSeq, a predicted model, not a curated record